Molecule: long non-coding RNA, 2343 nt
Organism: Passer domesticus (house sparrow)
Lineage: Eukaryota; Metazoa; Chordata; Aves; Passeriformes; Passeridae
Exons: 2
Source: RefSeq, a predicted model, not a curated record
CAGAGCCGGGGAGCCAGACCCGGGAGACAACAGCUGUCGUCUCUGCAGCUCCGGGCACAUACAUAUCAGACCUGAAUGGGGGAAUUCAACCGCGUUGGAUCCCGUUCUCUUUUCAAUCCACCAGAGCUAGUCAAGGCUUAGAGAGAAUUUGGUAGAGACAGUGAAUGCUUCAGAGGACUUUUCAAAUCUACCCUUUCCUCAUCUGAUUUAACCCCUGCUGACAUUAAACAGCUUUUUUCCUGCCUGAUAACUCAAAAGGAGUACCUCUUGUGGGAGGCGGCAUGGAAAAAAGAAGCGACAGCCAAUUUGCCAAUUCUAUGGGGUGAUAAGACUACUGCCACUGAUGUUUUUGGAAAGUUAGAGAAAGGGAGUGGGGUGAUGGAGCAAGUCAGGCAGAAAGCAUUCCCAGAAAAGCUCUCAAAGAAAGUGUUAAAGCAGCUGAGAAGGCUUUCUUCCGGUUGCAUCCUGAUGCUCCAUUUGAUAAUUAUUUGAAAAGAACACAAUUUCCAUUUGAGUCUUUCAUAAGUUUUGUGGAAAGGUUGAGAAAAACUGUGGACUUGCAAGUUCAAAUGAAGGAGCAAGGCUGGAAGUCCUCACCAAGAUUGCAGAGCAAAAUGCCAAUGAAAAGUGUAAAGCUGCCAUCCUGAGCCUGCCCCUCGAUCCAACACCAACACUACAAGCAAUGUUAGAAGUCUGUGCCAUGAAAGUUACCAACACCCCUGCUGAUCAAGACGAGAGACCAAAACCAAUGAGGAGGAUUGCAGCUGCAGACGUCCCCAACCAUCUGAUCCAGCACCCACCAGCUAGCUUCAACGUGUCAUGAUGCCACAGGGAAAAAUCUCCAACUCUAACCAUCCCUGAUAUCUUUGUGGGAGAUUAGGGCAUUGGACGCCCAACUGCCCUCUGAAAAAGGAGUUUUUUGAUUUUAAAUAUAGUAAUCAUAAAAAUCAGAAUUCCCCAAAAGAGAACCUUCCAAAAAACUGAAUCAAGAGCGCCCCUUAUCCCAGCGCUAUGACAAAAAUAGGGUGGGAUCAAUUCCGGCACAGGGGGGAAAUGAAAAACCAAUUUUGAGAGAACUACCUGUGCCAAAUCAGACACUUGCAUUAGACAUGACAAAACAUUCGUCUCACUAUGAUAAUCCCAUGCCAAUUCUAACCACCAAUUCUUCCCAUAACCCUUUCAGGCUGGUAUUGGCAGAGCCUCUCCAUUUCAAGAACAGUGACUGGCAUUUUACAACUGUUAACCCUGAACAACCAGGUUCACACAGAAGCACCAUGGACAUAUCAUUCAGGUUCUGUAUGGAUAGCAACCAGGUUAUUCCCUUAAAGUUGCACCAGGUGAGCAGAGGCUGGAUGUCAGCAGGGAAAAGUCCACUGUGCUGAGCAGUUCAGAAGCUAAGGUUCAUGUUUACCUUUGUGGAAAGUCUGAAUGGGCUGGACUCUGUGUGUUGCAAUGAGGGAGCAGUCUUACUAGUCAGGGGAUAUACAGACACAUGGGACACUCAUUACACACAGAAAAAUGGAGACACAAAUCUCUUCCUGCAUGGCUUAAGUAAUUUGGAAAAAAAGGUCUAAUGAUUUAUGCUGUAAGAGCACUGUAAAACAUGGAGUGGUGUAACAAAAUCUGAAGUUAAUACCAAACUCCGCAGGCUGGUGUGGCAUAUGGGUGUUAGGACAGCACUGUUCUUACUGCACUAUCAACGGCCCUACGGCAUGCUGGUGGGGCAGAUAAGAGGGACAGGUCUGUCUGACACUGUUGAGUCAGGGACGGAAUGAAAGACUCCAUUCUUCAGAAGGUGAAUCAGAAGGCCAAAGACCAGUUUAAUGAAAGUAGCAGGUUGUUUUAUAAUGUGACUCGCUAAGGUGAGACUUGAUUGGCCUCUAAGUAAAAGCUUCUCACACUAUUGGUGAACUAUGAAUAGCACAUUCUGGAGAAUCAUAUCUAUAAACAAUGGUUACAGAAAGAGAGAUAAUAAUUGUUUUAAUUAUUUUUUCUAAGUUUCCCACAGCAUCUCACAGUUUCCAAGGAAAAUUCUGGGACAGCUUUCUCUGUUCAGACUACGGUCUGUCCCCACAAAAAAAGUGCAAGAGAAACAACUGAAGGUAUGAAAUCAAUGAGCAAAAUCCCUUUGUGGCUAUUCCUACCCCAGCUUUUGCAGACUUAGAUCCUCUGCAGCCUCAUCUCCACACCUUGCUGUUCCUGAGCAUUUCCACACAGUCUGGGUGACAAUCAUGUCCUACCAGGGCCCUGAGGGCACAGGCAAAACAACGGGGGAAGUUUACACUGCAGCUUCCCCUCCGCUGGGUUGCUGCUGAGAAACUCCUCUUUUGUGCGCUUACUUAC